Molecule: non-coding RNA, 391 nt
Organism: Dermacentor albipictus
Lineage: Eukaryota; Metazoa; Arthropoda; Arachnida; Ixodida; Ixodidae
Source: RefSeq, a predicted model, not a curated record
GGAAAGUAGAGAGGGAAAGGUAGGAAGGGGAAAGGUCGCCUCUCGCAGCUGAGGCGGGCGGUCAGUUGUCCGCUGACGUCGCUGCCGAUCGGACGCCGCCGAGCACGCUGUCUGCGCCCAUACGGUGCGACGGAGAAGAUCCGGAAAAUUAAAAAGGGCGUGAAAAGUCGAAAAGGCCGCAAGAAGUCCCGAAGCCUUCACCGUGAGGUAUUGCUGCGGCAGUUGCUCAAAAAGUGGUCCUGGCUCGACGACUCUCAAAGAAGCACCUCAAGCGACGAAGAGGACAGCGAUGACAACGAUUGUGGGCCUUCUUUACCCGUUGUCCCUGGCUCCGCCGUGAAGCGUGGGCGAAAUGAUUGUGAUGAUGGAGAGCCUGGCCCGUCCAAGCGCC